RNAcentral lists this long non-coding RNA (364 nucleotides) under Elaeis guineensis (African oil palm). RNAcentral describes it as "long non-coding RNA (EGUI_LNC003351)". Lineage: Eukaryota; Viridiplantae; Streptophyta; Magnoliopsida; Arecales; Arecaceae. The record is from RNAcentral.
AAACAACUAUUUCAAGGCUGAUUCAAUCAUUAAGAAUGUUUAUGAUAUUAUUCUCAUGGACAAUAAAAAUGUAUAACUAAAAUUUAAGAUAUAAUAUGAUACAUUCAAGAUAAUAAAAGUAUAUCCAAACAACUAAGAACUUGAUCGUGUUCUCUUAACUUUUUUCCUAAAUUCACUACACCAAAAGACUAUUUUUUUGACAUGUAAAUUCAGGUGCAUUAUACACAAGAUACGGGUGAUCGAACAUAGCAUAAAACACAAGAAGAUUAGAGGUGGAUGAUAUAUCCGUCUCUAAUCAAGAAAAAUAGAUGAUAUAUAUAUACUGAAGCAAGAUUAGGGUGAAUAAACUUAAUCAAGAAAGGUG